RNAcentral lists this long non-coding RNA (1416 nucleotides) under Gopherus agassizii (Agassiz's desert tortoise). RNAcentral describes it as "lncRNA (ENSGAGG00000002503.1)". The record is from RNAcentral. Lineage: Eukaryota; Metazoa; Chordata; Testudines; Testudinidae.
UGACAUUUUUAUGAACUUUCACUCACUCCUUACAGUUAAGCUCACAAUUAGGGUAAAUUUGUUGAUUGGAUGAUCACAACAAGGCUCCAUUGAGGACUACAGUUCCCAGAAGGCAUUGCACCAUCCUCUGCUUGCUUCUGCUUGUGAUUCAGUGCCUCAGGAGUGGGAGGAGCUGCCUGAAGGGCCGGAGGAGGGCUGCCUGGAGGAGCUGUGUCUAGGAGGCAGAGGACUGGAGAAGGAGCCAUGAAGAAGGGAGGUGACAUUUUUGACAGUGACAGUGAUGAGACAGUAGUGGAGGGCUCAGUAAUUGAGAGUGACCUAGACGAAGAGGAGCUGCACAUGAAGAGGUUAUCUUUUGUUAAUAAAGAAGUAUCUUUAACAACUGAAACCAUCUUUUCUGCCGAAAUAAGAAGAGUAAAUGGAGUUUCAGAAAACCUCUCCCCAGAGAUUCAGCUUGCCUGUAAAUUCAGUGAUAAUCUAAAAAAUAUGAAGCAAAAGAACAAGAUAAAUCCGCUGACUCAUGAGAUGAGUGAAACUGAACAAUCUCAGUCUCUGCUGCAAGGUGCAGUAUUUACUACAAAGAUUUCUCAGCCUGGUCUUCCACUAAAUGCCUCAGUAGGUGGAGAGCAAAAUUACUCUGUAGGUUUAGAUACUGACAUGUCUGGAUUUCUGAAAACAGAGAGAAAGAUUUCACAUCGAUUAAAUGAUGAAGAUCACUCUCCAGAAGGAAGCCUACUGUCAACUGUAGUUGUAAAAGAGACAUUAAUGGCUCCAAAGGAAUGGACACCACAGAAUGUAUUUCCACGUGUUUUAAAAGAUUGUCAAAGUGCCACUAUGACCAUUACUGAGAUAGGUACUAGGGUGAAAGAUAAUUCUCUUGAGAAGUCUAUACCUGAUUUUAUUCUAUCAUCAACAUCAGAGAAGAUUUCCAGGGAAAUAUUAACUGUACAAAGUAUAAUGGGUGAUGAAUUUGAAAUUAGAGAUUUGCUGAAACCACUCAGUGAUUCAGAGAGUCCAGAAAUGAUAAACCCUUUGCAUAACACAUUACAAUGUCAAGGUGAUGCUCUAUCUGUAGAUAUAUCAGUAGAUGAGAACAGCAAUGUUCUGCCACUAGAGCUUCUGACAGCACUGAACUCCUUUUCAGAGUCUGUAGUACAGCCUGUCUGUCAAUUAGUAGGGAAGAAAAGAGAGCUUAAUGCUGAAGAAGAACAUUUGAGAUCAGAACCCAGUAUUUUCCAGACAGAUGACUGCACUCAAAUAACAGAUAACAAUUUUGAACCUCAAUUUUCUGUGAAGCAAUUGGAAGAAAUAAAAGCUUUAACAGAGGCUGCAUUUCAGAGUACUUUAGAUGAAGAAGUAUGUACAUGUUUUAAUACCUAUUUGAAAUGUUUUGUGUAUCUUACAAUAUUUGACUGA